Molecule: long non-coding RNA, 685 nt
Organism: Olea europaea var. sylvestris
Lineage: Eukaryota; Viridiplantae; Streptophyta; Magnoliopsida; Lamiales; Oleaceae
Exons: 3
Source: RefSeq, a predicted model, not a curated record
UUUUUCCUCAUUCUGACAAUCUCUUUUGUGACAGCAUUUUUACUUCUUCACGCUAUUUCUUUCUUUCCUUUUCAUCUUAAUACGUCUUCAUUUUCCCACACAAUGAUCCAUGUGUCUCUAACUUUCUCUUCAUGAAACUUUACUAUUUUUGUGAAAUGUAUGGUUCUUAAAAUUUUGGGAAUUUUUGUCUUCUGUUUUGUUUGAGUUUUGAAUGAUUUUGAGGUUCGGGUUGUUGGUUGGACUUAGGCGGCAUAGGCAUCUUCUUCAUCAACUAAUGAUUCACCGGAGGUGAAGGACGUGGUAAGUGAUGCUGUGGCGAAGAAAUGUUUGAGGGAUGAAGUUCGAUGUGUUGAUUUGGCCAAUAGUGAUAGUACGAAGCAGUCGGAAGUGAUCAUAUCGUUGGAGGCGGUGAUGGAAGGUGGGCCUCGAUUUCUCCGAUAACUAUAGGGAUGAGCAUUUGCCGAUAGUCGUAAAGAUUUAUUUGUAGAGAUGAAAGCUGUAGACCUCUUGCUUAACUUUUGCUGUAAUGACUGUAUUUGGUAUGAACUUCCCCAAGCGUACUUGUCGUUCUUUGCACAUGAACUCCUUUCUGAUAAGAGCCGAGAAGAUAUUCCUCCGAUAAGUGACUAUUACCUUGUUUUAAGGGUGUGAAGCUAUGAUUAAAUCUGUUUGGUCCAUCAUUUGU